GUGGAUUAGAUACCCUGGUAGUCCACGCCGUAAACGUUGGGCACUAGGUGUGGGUCUCAACCAACGAGAUCCGCGCCGUCGCUAACGCAUUAAGUGCCCCGCCUGGGGAGUACGGUCGCAAGACUAAAACUCAAAGGAAUUGACGGGGGCCCGCACAAGCAGCGGAGCGUGUUGCUUAAUUCGAUGUUACGCGAAGAACCUUACCUGGGUUUGACAUGUAGGGAAAAGCUCUGGAGACAGGGUGUCCUAACGGGCCCUACACAGGUGGUGCAUGGCCGUCGUCAACU
This 287-nucleotide ribosomal RNA is filed under the name uncultured bacterium. RNAcentral's name for it is "partial 16S ribosomal RNA". It matches the Rfam family "Bacterial small subunit ribosomal RNA", at positions 773 to 1060 of the family's 1533-position model. The record is from RNAcentral.